This 253-nucleotide ribosomal RNA is filed under the name uncultured bacterium. RNAcentral describes it as "partial 16S ribosomal RNA". It matches the Rfam family "Bacterial small subunit ribosomal RNA", at positions 524 to 776 of the family's 1533-position model. The record is from RNAcentral.
UACGGAGGGUGCGAGCGUUGUCCGGAAUCAUUGGGCGUAAAGGGCGCGUAGGUGGCCCGGUCAGCGUGCGGUGAAAGCUCGGGGCUCAACCCCGAGUCGGCCGUGCGAACUGCUGGGCUGGAGCACUGUAGAGGCAGGCGGAAUUCCGGGUGUAGCGGUGGAAUGCGUAGAGAUCCGGAGGAACACCAGUGGCGAAGGCGGCUGCCUGGGCCUGGCCUGACGCUGAGGCGCGAAAGCGUGGGGAGCAAUCCGG